RNAcentral lists this ribosomal RNA (441 nucleotides) under uncultured bacterium. RNAcentral's name for it is "partial 16S ribosomal RNA". It matches the Rfam family "Bacterial small subunit ribosomal RNA", at positions 338 to 795 of the family's 1533-position model. The record is from RNAcentral.
CCUACGGGGGGCAGCAGUGGGGAAUAUUGCACAAUGGGGGAAACCCUGAUGCAGCGACGCCGCGUGAGUGAAGAAGUAUUUCGGUAUGUAAAGCUCUAUCAGCAGGGAAGAAAAAAGACGGUACCUGACUAAGAAGCACCGGCUAACUACGUGCCAGCAGCCGCGGUAAUACGUGGGGGGGAAGCGUUAUCCGGAUUUACUGGGUGUAAAGGGUGCGUAGACGGCAUGGUAAGUCUGAAGUGAAAGCCCGUGGCUCAACCGCGGAACUGCUUUGGAGACUGUUAAGCUGGAGUAAUGGAGAGGCAAGCGGAAUUCCUAGUGUAGCGGUGAAAUGCGUAGAUAUUAGGAGGAACACCAGAGGCGAAGGCGGCUUGCUGGACAGAGACUGACGUUGAGGCUCGAAAGCGUGGGGAGCAAACAGGAUUAGAUACCCUUGUAGUC